This 640-nucleotide ribosomal RNA is filed under the name Boana rosenbergi (Rosenberg's treefrog). Its description in RNAcentral is "partial large subunit ribosomal RNA". It matches the Rfam family "Bacterial large subunit ribosomal RNA", at positions 1769 to 2631 of the family's 2925-position model. Lineage: Eukaryota; Metazoa; Chordata; Amphibia; Anura; Hylidae. The record is from RNAcentral.
UUGCAUUGUUGCUAGAGCAGGGCUCGCCGCCUGUUUAUCAAAACAUCGCCUCUUGAAUAAAAUAUAAGAGGUCCAGCCUGCCCAGUGAUUCAAUUCAACGGCCGCGGUAUCCUAACCGUGCGAAGGUAGCGUAAUCACUUGUUCUUUAAAUGAGGACUAGUAUGAAUGGCACCACGAGGGUUAUACUGUCUCCUUUUUCUAUCAGUGAAACUAAUCCCCAGUGAAGAAGCUGGGAUUUUUUAUAAGACGAGAAGACCCUAUGGAGCUUUAAACUAAUUAACAUUUGCUGCCUCUCAAGUAAAGAAAACAACCUUUAGCCUAGCAUCAUGAUUAAUAGUUUUCGAUUGGGGUGAUCACGGAGAAAAGACAACCUCCAUGACGAAAGGAUUACAGCCCUGAGCAAAAGCUACAACUUUAUGCACUAAUAUUAUUAACGUUUAUUGACCCAAAAAUUUUGAUCAACGAACCAAGUUACCCUAGGGAUAACAGCGCAAUCCACUUUAAGAGCUCCUAUCGACAGGUGGGUUUACGACCUCGAUGUUGGAUCAGGGUGUCCCAGUGGUGCAGCCGCUACUAACGGUUCGUUUGUUCAACGAUUAAAACCCUACGUGAUCUGAGUUCAGACCGGGCGAGCCCUGCU